Molecule: ribosomal RNA, 306 nt
Filed under: uncultured bacterium
Lineage: Bacteria
Description: partial 16S ribosomal RNA
Source: RNAcentral
CGAAGCUGAUCAUCAUGCCGCGUGUGUGAAGAAUGCCUGCGGGUUGUAAGCACUUUCAGUUGGGAGGAAGCAUUUAGGUUAAGAGCUAAAGAUGUUGACGUUNNACCUACAGAAGAAAGCACCUGUGGGCCUAAAGGACCUACCUUUGAAUUUGGGCCCACCCAAAGGCCCAACAGACCUGCCCGCGUGAAAUUAACCAUGAGCGGUGCGAGCGUUNAAUCUCGGAAUUAACNUUUGGUGGUGGUCCCCUGGAUUUAAAAAACAACUCGCACGGGUGGGGNCCUUUUUGGGGGGGCCCCCCAUGGG